AUAGCCUGCCAAAGAAGGUGAAAGCCCUGUAGAUGUAAAAGAUUAAAGAUUUAUAGUUGAUAUUCUUGAGUAAUACUGGACUCGUGAAAUCCAGUAUGAAGUUAGGCGGACUGUCGUCUAAGGCUAAAUAUUUUUGAAGACCGAUAGUGAACUAGUACCGUGAGGGAAAGGUGAAAAGUAGCCCGGAAGGGCGGUGAAAAGUACCUGAAACUUUAGGCUAUCAUAGACUCGGAGCUUCGAUGUAAAAGUCGGAGUGACGGGGUUCCUAUUGAAGAAUGAACCAACGACUUCGAGCAUAUAGUUUGACUAAGUUCUACGGAAUGGAGUCAAAGCGAAAGCGAGUGUUAAAAGCGCGUUCUCUGUCUAAGACAGAGGGGAUUAUAUGCUUGAGACCCGAAACUGGGUGAGCUACUCAUGGCUAGGGUGAACUCCGACGAAGGUCGGAGGGAGGCCCGAACCAGUUAGUGGUGCAAAACUAUUGGAUAAGCUGUGAGUAGGAGUGAAAAGCUAAUCGAACCCAGAGAUAGCUGGUUCUCCCCGAAAUAGCUUUAGAGCUAGCCUGCUUGAUUGGAUGUUUAGCGGUAGAGCACUAAAUAAAUUAAGAUGGGGCGACCCACUUGAUUUAAUUAAACUCCGAAUGGCUAAUCAUCUUUACAAGUGGAGUCAGACCGUGGGGGCUAAGCUUCAUUGGUCAAAAGGGAAACAGCCCUGAUCUCCAUCUAAGGUCCCUAAAUCCAAGUUAAGUGUGAAAAGUGGUGAGACGACUGAAACAACCAGGAGGUUGGCUUAGAAGCAGCCAUCCUUUAAAGAAAGCGUAACAGCUCACUGGUCAAUGUUGUCUUGCGCUGAAAAUUUAUCGGGGCUAAACUUGGUACCGAAGAUGAGAAUGCUGUUGCUUUGCAACAGCGUGGUAGGGGAGCGUUCCGACAGCGGUGAAGUCAAAUCGUAAGAUUUGGUGGAGCGGUCGGGAGUGAGAAUGUUGGUAUAAGUAGUAAAAAGGCCGAUGAGAAUUCGGCCCACCGAAAGUCCAAGAUUUCCUGGGCACUGAUUAUCAACCCAGGGUUAGGCGGUCCUAAGGGGAAGCCGAAAGGCGUACUUAAUGGACAAGCAGUUAAUAUUCUGCUUCUAAUAUUAGUUUCCGAAGGAGUAACGUUUCGUUAAACUUGGAGCAUGCAUUGGUUUCGUGUUUAAAGAGAAAAUGGGUCUCUAGGAAAAUCCGGAGAUAAAAAGUUUUCUCUGAAUAAAAUUUUCGCAAGAAGAGAUUCCAGGGGCGAUGGAACCAAGAAAAACUUCUAGGGCUAAACUAAUAUUAACCGUAUCGCAAACCGACACUGGUGGACAGGGUGAGAAACCUAAGGUGUACGAGUGAUCCCUUGUUAAGGAACUCGGCAAAAAAGUGUUCGUAACUUCGGAAUAAGGACUGGUCCGAUGAAUAAUCGGACUCGCAGCGAAAGUUGCCAAACGACUGUUUAACAAAAACACAGGUCCCUGCUUAAACUGUAAAGUGAUGUAUAGGGGCUGAUGCCUGGCCAGUACUAGAACGUUAAAAGGAGGAGUGACCGAGCACAUAAUUUAUUUAUGUGCUUGGAGGCUCUGAAUUGAAGCGCUAGUGAACGCCGGCGGUAACUAUAACCGUAGAUCUUUGUUACCUCUACACUUUUUAGUGUAGUUUAAAAGAUAGGGCGGUUAAAAAAUUCGACCAUAUGCUGGAACCCUUAAACGCUUAGACUACCGGGUAGGUGAAAAUGUCUAAGUUAUAGGUAAUCAGCAGGAAAGGCUCUGAAUAAAUAAAAACAAUAAUUAUGGAGCAAAAAAAGAUUUAUUAUCAUCUGAAGCAAUUAAAAAGGGAAUAUCUAAAUUGGUAUAUAGUUGGUUUUGUUGACGGAGAAGGAUCGUUUAGCGUCUCAAUUACCAAACAUCCAGAUGCGAGAUUUGGCUGGAUGAUCGAUCCAGUUUUUCAGAUCUAUCAACAUGAAAAUCAUCGAGAAGUUUUAGAACUAAUUAGAGAAGUUCUAAAAACAGGAACAAUCAGAUUCAAAUCAAAAGAAAAAUCUAAUACACUUGAUUUCUCUGUCGAAAAUUUCCGUUCUCUCAAAGAAAAAAUCAUCCCCUUUUUUAAGAGAUACCAAUUGAUUGUUAAAAAUGAUGAUUUCAAAAAAUUUUGCCAGAUUAUUGAAUUAAUGGACAAGAAAGCGCAUUAUACUAUUGAAGGAUUCAAAAAGAUUAUUAGAAUCGCUCAUUUAAUGAAUCAGCAAGGCAAGCAGAGAAUCUAUUCAGAAGAAUAUAUUUUUGAGAGAAUGGAGAAUAAGUUAAAAAAUAAAUUAUUCAGAGAAUCCUCAGAGACUAAUACGUCGAAUCCCGUAAUUUACGGGAAUGAUAUAGUCCAGACACGUUAGUGAUAGCGUGAAAUAAAAGCCUAAGGUAACGUAAUCCCUUGCCGGGUAAGUUCCGGCCUGCAUGAAUGGCAUAACGAUUUGGCAACUGUCUCAACAAGGGGCUCGACGAAAUUGCAGUGGGCGUGAAGAUGCGCUUAAUCCACGGUUAGACGAAAAGACCCCGUGAAGCUUUACUGUAGCUUGAUAUUGGAUUAGAAGAAGAACUAGUUCAGCGUAGGUGG
This 2617-nucleotide ribosomal RNA is filed under the name bacterium (Candidatus Moisslbacteria) CG_4_10_14_0_2_um_filter_36_61. RNAcentral's name for it is "bacterial LSU rRNA". It matches the Rfam family "Bacterial large subunit ribosomal RNA", at positions 347 to 2150 of the family's 2925-position model. The record is from RNAcentral.